This 70-nucleotide transfer RNA is filed under the name Brachymeles elerae. Its description in RNAcentral is "tRNA-Lys". Lineage: Eukaryota; Metazoa; Chordata; Lepidosauria; Squamata; Scincidae. The record is from RNAcentral.
CAUUAAGAAGCUUCUACAGCACUAGCCUUUUAAGCUAGAGAGGGGGGGGGUUUAGCCCCCCCUUAAUGAA